RNAcentral lists this long non-coding RNA (1667 nucleotides) under Equus caballus (horse). RNAcentral's name for it is "lncRNA (ENSECAG00000050039.1)". The record is from RNAcentral. Lineage: Eukaryota; Metazoa; Chordata; Mammalia; Perissodactyla; Equidae.
GAUCAAAUAAGAUCAUGAGACUUUGUAAACCAAGUCCGACAGUAAUAUUUCCUGCAGAAGUUCUCUGUGUUUUUCAGAUCACUGCCUGGCACUUUUCAAAAAUGCCCCAAUUCAAGGAAAGUUCCAAGGGCCUAGCAUUUACCCUCCCAGGUCAACUGGGAAGAAGGAAGAGACGGAAAGAAGAGAAAAGAACACACAACCUCCAAAUAACAGCACGGUGCUUCUGGGCCCAAGUAAAUGGAAGCAGAGCUGGUCAAGGCUGGAGUGCCAAUGGAGUGGGAGCAGCCAGGCCUGAGGGUGGCUGAGCCAGAGCUGCUGCCCCUGCUAAGGUCUAUUACUCACUUAGCCACGCCGCAAGGCUUUUCCCCCAGGCAGCUCAUCCCCCUGCCUCUCUCUGAGUAAUACACACACGAGGCGCGGAGCCAUCACUUACACAAAUAGCCAUGAGCGCCUUCAGACCAGUGUUCGGCUACUAAGAAGGCAGACGCCCUCGAGAGGCCAGAGGGAAAGUGCCUGCUCAAGGGCUGUAGGCACCUCUUCAACUGGCCUCACAGGUGCUUUCUCUGCAGGGCAAAGUGCUGGUCACAAUGGGGGCAAGGGCUGCCCGCUUGUGUCCCAGGGAAGGGGACGUGCACUUUGCCAGUGCUAAGCAAGAGGCCUUCUCUGGAGCAUGGGAAGUGGUGGGUCCAACCCUGGUGCUGGGGCCAGGGCGAGUGGGCGGCUUUGAGGGAGGGAACGUGCCGCGAGCAAUGCCUUCUCUACUCUCCUGCUCCUUCAGGUAGACCUGGCAACAACCUACGAGAGAGGAGGUGGGGCACAGCCCGCUCCCCGGUCCCACGCAAACAUCACCUACUCAGAUUUACUGAAGACCCCUGCAAAGAAACGCAUAAGCUGGAAAGAUGGUGCAGGCCGCUAAAAUACCAUAUCCUCACAGCUACUGUUCCAAACUGAUGACGUGCACAUACUCUCUCUCAGCAUCCAUAUGGCAAAUCUCAAGAAAGAUAAUACACAUACACACGACUUCAGCGGCUGAUAGGAGAUACCGGCAAUUCUGUCAUGGAGGAACGAGUGCUGCACGUGAUGCGGAAGCAGCUAUAUCAAAAACCGCCCUUGCACACUGCCCCCAAAUCACCCGUCCAGAGCCGGAAAAGCCCAUGUCAUGAGAAAUCGUUUCCCCAGGAAUCAUCAAAGAAAGCAGGCAUAUAAACAGCAACAUGGUUUACCGAAAGUGACACUGGUCAGAGCCAAAAAUUCUUGCUGAAAUGGAAAGAUCUCAGUUCAAAAGAAUACUGCUAUUGAAACUCGAGGGCUGAGCUCUGGAUCAACCACCCUUCAGAAUUCUUCACCCACACCCAGAAGCUAAUGAUUUCCAGAGAUGGCCACAGUAAAGAAUUCACAGGAACAUGGGUCACUGUGUCAAGGAUCAUGUCAAGAAGAGAAGGUCACCAGUUCCAAAUAUUUCAGAGGUGAAAAGGUCAUUCUUAUAAAUACCGUAUCCUCCACAUUCAGCACACCAUGGUACGUGCUUUGUCAUAAUUUGGUGGGCCACCAGCUGUCACCAGUGGAGCCUCCAACCAAAUGAAAUUCCUCAGUCUUCACCAUCCAGAUGUCACUCCUACAUCUUGGUUGACAGCUUCUUCCAGAAAUGGACACGGGUCAGGUUUUUG